UUKGSKCKSUAGCGGCGAAUGGGUGAGUAACACGUACUUAACGUGCCUUUUAGAUUGGGACAACGAUGAGAAAUUAUCGCUAAUACCGGAUACUUAUAGGGAACGCAUGUUCCUUAUAUAAAAGGAGCCUUUAAAGCUUCACUAAAAGAUCGGGGUGCGGAACAUUAGCUAGUUGGUGAGGUAAUGGCUCACCAAGGCUAUGAUGUUUAACGGGGUUGAGAGACUGAUCCGUCACACUGGGACUGAGAUACGGCCCAGACUCCUACGGGAGGCAGCAGUAGGGAAUUUUCCACAAUGGGCGAAAGCCUGAUGGAGCGACACAGCGUGCAGGAUGAAGGCCUUCGGGUUGUAAACUGCUGUUAUUUAGGAUGAAAAAAUAGUAGAGGAAAUGCUAUUAUCUUGACAGUACUAAAUCAGAAAGCAACGGCUAACUAUGUGCCAGCAGCCGCGGUAAUACAUAGGUUGCAAGCGUUAUCCGGAAUUAUUGGGCGUAAAGCGUCUGUAGGUUGUUUGUUAAGUCUGGCGUCAAAACUUGGGGCUCAACCCCAAAUCGCGUUGGAUACUGGCAAACUAGAAUUGUGUAGAGGUUAACGGAAUUCCUUGUGAAGCGGUGAAAUGCGUAGAUAUAAGGAAGAACAUCAACAUGGCGAAGGCAGUUAACUGGGCACAUAUUGACACUGAGAGACGAAAGCGUGGGGAGCAAACAGGAUUAGAUACCCUGGUAGUCCACGCCGUAAACGAUGAUGAUUAGCUGAUGGGAACCAUCGGCGCAGCUAACGCAUUAAAUCAUCCGCCUGAGUAGUAUGCUCGCAAGAGUGAAACUUAAAGGAAUUGACGGGGAUCCGCACAAGCGGUGGAGCAUGUGGUUUAAUUUGAAGAUACGCGUAGAACCUUACCCACUCUUGACAUCU
This 911-nucleotide ribosomal RNA is filed under the name uncultured Mycoplasma sp. RNAcentral describes it as "bacterial SSU rRNA". The record is from RNAcentral. Lineage: Bacteria; Bacillati; Mycoplasmatota; Mollicutes; Mycoplasmatales; Mycoplasmataceae.